ACACAUGCAAGUCGAACGAGAGAGAAGGAGCUUGCUUCUUCGAUCGAGUGGCGAACGGGUGAGUAACGCGUGAGGAACCUGCCUCAAAGAGGGGGACAACAGUUGGAAACGACUGCUAAUACCGCAUAAGCCCACGGGUCGGCAUCGAUCUGAGGGAAAAGGAGCAAUCCGCUUUGAGAUGGCCUCGCGUCCGAUUAGCUAGUUGGUGAGGUAACGGCCCACCAAGGCGACGAUCGGUAGCCGGACUGAGAGGUUGAACGGCCACAUUGGGACUGAGACACGGCCCAGACUCCUACGGGAGGCAGCAGUGGGGAAUAUUGCACAAUGGGGGAAACCCUGAUGCAGCGACGCCGCGUGGAGGAAGAAGGUCUUCGGAUUGUAAACUCCUGUUGUUGAGGAAGAUAAUGACGGUACUCAACAAGGAAGUGACGGCUAACUACGUGCCAGCAGCCGCGGUAAAACGUAGGUCACAAGCGUUGUCCGGAAUUACUGGGUGUAAAGGGAGCGCAGGCGGGAAGACAAGUUGGAAGUGAAAUCUAUGGGCUCAACCCAUAAACUGCUUUCAAAACUGUUUUUCUUGAGUAGUGCAGAGGUAGGCGGAAUUCCCGGUGUAGCGGUGGAAUGCGUAGAUAUCGGGGGGAACACCAGUGGCGAAGGCGGCCUACUGGGCACCAACUGACGCUGAGGCUCGAAAGUGUGGGUAGCAAACAGGAUUAGAUACCCUGGUAGUCCACACCGUAAACGAUGAUUACUAGGUGUUGGAGGAUUGACCCCUUCAGUGCCGCAGUUAACACAAUAAGUAAUCCACCUGGGGAGUACGACCGCAAGGUUGAAACUC
RNAcentral lists this ribosomal RNA (838 nucleotides) under uncultured bacterium. RNAcentral's name for it is "bacterial SSU rRNA". It matches the Rfam family "Bacterial small subunit ribosomal RNA", at positions 51 to 902 of the family's 1533-position model. The record is from RNAcentral.